Molecule: non-coding RNA, 82 nt
Organism: Podarcis lilfordi (Lilford's wall lizard)
Lineage: Eukaryota; Metazoa; Chordata; Lepidosauria; Squamata; Lacertidae
Source: the annotation of a GenBank genome assembly
AGCCCUGUAGCUCAGUGGUAUAGCAUCUGGUUUGCAUGCAGAAGGUCUUAGGUUCAACCUCUGACAUCUCCUGGUAUGGUUU